AGGCCCGGGCGCUGUUAGGGGUGACUCCCACGAUCCCUAGCGGCUGCGGAGUGGAAAAUGGCGGCCUCCUUGCCGCUUGGGUUACCAGAGUCCACCCGACCUCGUGCUUUCUCCGGGCGCCCGUAGCUGGUGCCGGCAUCCACAAAAAUAGAUCAGAGGAUGAAUAAAGAGGAAGCUCCAGGCUGUGAGGUGUCUAAUCCUUGCUCCCCUCAGAAGUUGGGACAUGUUGGACCAAGGUGGUAAGGAUAGUGAGAGGCCAAAGAUUUAACAAUACACUGUGAUGCUGGGGCUGGCUGGGAGGAGAUUGCACCUUUAUAGCCCGGUGGUGGCAAUCCAGAGUGCAACCCCUAGAGAUGGCAACUUGACAAGACCUCUCAAAAAACACUACACACAGCUUUUGAGCCCCUCAACCCACUUCUGAGAGUAUGUCCUAUGGCAACAUGUGCACACAUGGAAAAUAAAGCCUGUACAAGUUUCCCAGAAGCUGGACAAGCCACGACGGCGCCUUCCAAUAAAAGGGGAACUCCAGAGACGCUAUGAGAAAAGAGGAACAGACAUCUGCAAUAGAUAUGCGCAACUUCCUUUUCAAAAACACCAUCGGCAUUGCUUUCUCAGGAAGCCACUGCCAGCCUAUUGUGAUAGCUGACACUGAGUUCCUGAAAAUUCUCUAAUUAGGAUCCCAGACUGGAGGGUCAGCCAGUGGUUAACAUAUAAAUGGACACAAAACUGAUUUUAUUGGAAGACUGAGGGUGGGCACUCACCAUGGUUCUAAGCAUUACUCAGAAGAUCCAUAAAAACAUUACAGUUCUGUUGUGUAAGAGUUUAGGAAAAAAAGAAAAUCCUGACAAAAAUCCCAACCUAAAAAACAAUGUCAACAUUUGUAAGUAGGAUGGGGAGGCAGAGAUGAAUUGGCAGCGUUAUCACAGCUACUGGACUAUGUGGACUUUAACAAAAUAAGAAACAGGGGUGGGGGUUGGGUGGUGGUAUCUUAACAGAGCAGGAGUAGAGACGGAUGUCCUGGGGCAGAAUGGGUACCAAUGCUGCCUGAAGCCUGGAGCUGGGAGCUGAGGACUAAGAGGUAGACAGGAGGGUGGGGACCCGUACCUGCUCCAAGGAACUGGUGCCCCAGAACUGGUGAGCUGGGGUAUGCAUUUAAGCUCAUUCGUUUACCAGAAUGCAGUCACCACCUGAUGAAAGAAAUGACUAAUGGCAGGACUUGAACAGUUCUCUAUAAAUGAGUACCUGGGAGAAAAACAGGUCUCCAGGCUCCACAAUACCCAACAAACACACUGCCUUUAGCCCAUUUCAAGCUGCACUUCUUAACACCGAACCCAACCCAACCAACCUCAGAGGUAAGGAUGAGAGCAGGCAAUGAACAGCUAUGAUUCUCCAUUCCCUGGCCAGGCAGGGAGCCUUUCCAGCCACCCUCGUGAGACUGCUUGUAACAGAAAUAAGGAAACCAACUCCAAGACUCAGUAACUCACCCAAGGUCAGAACCACUGAGUGGCAGGGCCUGUGAGCCACAAAGGAAACUGAAAACCAGAAAGAGCUUCUCUCUGGUCUGUUAUUUUAAGAAAAACAUGCCCAGAGGGGCCACCUGGAACCAAGGCUGUGGCACCCUCACCUUCCUCUCUAAUUAAACAACAACUUCCCAGGAGCAACAACAGCAGCAACAGGCUGGCCCAGCAGAUGAACUGGAAUCAAUCCAAGCCUUUCCCCUAUGCCAGGGCUGGUGUAGCAUAGGCAUACGGGUCAGUUUCGGCACUAACACCUACUUAGUUUGGGCACUACUUUACCUGCUGUGAAGUCUACUGGGAUCUUCCAGGAAAGUCCUACCUCAUUAGUAAAAAGAAAAACAAAGACUCAGGAAGAAAGUUCCUGCUCUCCCUGUUGAAUGCUGUGUGAGGAUAAGAUGUUUGGAGCAUGGCAGUCACCCUGUGACUAUGAGAAGGCCAGGUGUACCACAGGGUGGUCAUUCCAGUGCUCUGGAUCAGCCCCAAACCACUUCCCUCAAGACUCAUGUUCUAAGGUGAUUAAAAGUGUGCUUUGAAGGUAAAUCUAUGGUGACAGUCAACAGAUCAGUGAUUGCCAGGAGUCAGGGGUAGAGGGAGGGAAGAACAGAUGUAGCACUGAGAAUUUUUAGGGCAGUGAAAAUGUUCUGUAUGAUACUAUAUAUAAUGGAUACAUGCCAUUAUACACUUGUCCACACUCACAGAAUGUACACCACCAAGAGUGAACCCUAAUGUAAACUAUGGACUUUGGGUGAUCAUGAUGUGUCAAUGCAGGUUCGUCAAUUGCAACACAUGUACCAUUCUAGUGGAGGGUGUUGAUAACAGGAGGCUAUGCAUGUGUGGGACCAGGGGAUAUAUGGGAAAUCUCUGUACAUGCCUCUCAAUUUUGCUGAGAAUCUAAAACUGCUCUUAAUAAAGUCUUACAAAAAUAAA
Pongo pygmaeus (Bornean orangutan) is the source of this 2444-nucleotide long non-coding RNA. RefSeq lists it as uncharacterized. NCBI's taxonomy places the organism in Eukaryota, Metazoa, Chordata, Mammalia, Primates, Hominidae. The record is from RefSeq and is a predicted model, not a curated record. The transcript has 4 exons.